RNAcentral lists this transfer RNA (73 nucleotides) under Ixodes scapularis (black-legged tick). Its description in RNAcentral is "tRNA-Ser for anticodon GGA". It matches the Rfam family "tRNA". Rfam says of the family: Transfer RNA (tRNA) molecules are approximately 80 nucleotides in length. Their secondary structure includes four short double-helical elements and three loops (D, anti-codon, and T loops). Further hydrogen bonds mediate the characteristic L-shaped molecular structure. tRNAs have two regions of fundamental functional importance: the anti-codon, which is responsible for specific mRNA codon recognition, and the 3' end, to which the tRNAs corresponding amino acid is attached (by aminoacyl-tRNA synthetases). tRNAs cope with the degeneracy of the genetic code in two manners: having more than one tRNA (with a specific anti-codon) for a particular amino acid; and 'wobble' base-pairing, i.e. permitting non-standard base-pairing at the 3rd anti-codon position. The record is from RNAcentral. Lineage: Eukaryota; Metazoa; Arthropoda; Arachnida; Ixodida; Ixodidae.
UCCUGGUUCGCUCAGUUGGUAGAGCGCUCCACUGGAAAUGGAGAGGACCCUGGUUCGGUACCAGGACUAGGCG